RNAcentral lists this long non-coding RNA (320 nucleotides) under Brassica napus (rape). RNAcentral describes it as "long non-coding RNA (BNAP_LNC015628)". Lineage: Eukaryota; Viridiplantae; Streptophyta; Magnoliopsida; Brassicales; Brassicaceae. The record is from RNAcentral.
AUUGCUUUGUUUGCAGGUUCUGACAUUAAGUCCUAAGUCUGGCUUAGGUACCGGAUUAGGCUUGGUGUGUAUUUUGUUAGUGUAGGCCUGACGUUGGCCUGUAUGUGUUUGAGGGAUUACUUGUGAAGGGUGGUGGAUAUUAAAGCUAUGCGGUAUCAUUGGUUGGCCGAUCAUGUUCUUGUUUUAUUGUUGGUCGACCGGCUCAUGAUACUUGUAUAGUCUAAGUGUCUAACACUACAUGAGUACUGAACUCAAGCGUAUAUAUGGUUAACUAGGGAUUGGUUGUUGACUUGUUUUAAUGCAGGUUCCCGUUACUUGGA